This 740-nucleotide ribosomal RNA is filed under the name uncultured Scolecobasidium. RNAcentral's name for it is "SSU rRNA". It matches the Rfam family "Eukaryotic small subunit ribosomal RNA", at positions 416 to 1161 of the family's 1831-position model. The record is from RNAcentral. Lineage: Eukaryota; Fungi; Ascomycota.
CCAAGGAAGGCAGCAGGCGCGCAAAUUACCCAAUUCCGAUACGGAGAGGUAGUGACAAUAAAUACUGAUACAGGGCUCUUUUGGGUCUUGUAAUUGGAAUGAGUACAAUUUAAACCUCUUAACGAGGAACAAUUGGAGGGCAAGUCUGGUGCCAGCAGCCGCGGUAAUUCCAGCUCCAAUAGCGUAUAUUAAAGUUGUUGCAGUUAAAAAGCUCGUAGUUGAACCUUUGGCCUGGCUGGCAGGUCCGCCUCACCGCGUGCACUUGUCCGGCCGGGCCUUUUCUUCUGGAGAACCGCAUGCCCUUCACUGGGUGUGUUGGGGACCAGGACUUUUACUUUGAAAAAAUUAGAGUGUUCAAAGCAGGCCUUUGCUCGAAUACGUUAGCAUGGAAUAAUAGAAUAGGACGUGCGGUCCUAUUUUGUUGGUUUCUAGGACCGCCGUAAUGAUUAAUAGGGACAGUCGGGGGCAUCAGUAUUCAAUUGUCAGAGGUGAAAUUCUUGGAUUUAUUGAAGACUAACUACUGCGAAAGCAUUUGCCAAGGAUGUUUUCAUUAAUCAGUGAACGAAAGUUAGGGGAUCGAAGACGAUCAGAUACCGUCGUAGUCUUAACCAUAAACUAUGCCGACUAGGGAUCGGGCGGUGUUUCUAUUGUGACCCGCUCGGCACCUUACGAGAAAUCAAAGUGUUUGGGUUCUGGGGGGAGUAUGGUCGCAAGGCUGAAACUUAAAGGAAUUGACGGAA